GAAUCUCUGCUAACGAUUCUUUCACGCAGAUCCGUGCCCAUAUCAAAUUGGUUCUUGAUUUUGUAUCUAUGUCAAUUCCAACAAAGCCUCCACAUAAUUCCCGAUAGACCGGAAGGUGCUUUUUGACCAGACAUUUAACGGGAUACCAAAGGCUCUAACCUAUUUUUGAUCUGAGCGUGGCUUUGCCAUGUUAGACCCAGUCACCGACGACCACCAUUUAAGUGAUAACUUUCUUUAUUCCGAAACCACUCCCCUGCUUUAACUCUCUCGGCUUCCUGCUGUGAUGGCAGUUGAAAAAGGAAUUGAUUGUGAGUUAGACUUGUUACACUGAUUCUUGCUGUGACUUGCCAUCUCCUAACGAACUAGUUCCGUAACACCUAUGGUGAUGGUGAAGGACUGAAUGGGUUGUUGCGAGUACCAAUUAGGACAGUAGAUGAAAGAUUGAGUGCUGUUGCUUGCGUCUGGUAUGAUUUUGACUGUAUUAUCCUCCACCACAACUUUCCCACGGUAAAAGGUUUGUUGCAAUAUGUUCUCGGUCAUAUCGUUGUUAGGACAUUCCUUCACCACGGUUCUAUAGCGUUCCCAAAUUUCAUUUAGUGGCUCAUUUGGUUCUUGCUUGAAUGCCAAGAUUUCAUCCCUCAAAGUAGCCAUGUGCCAGGGUGAGAAGAAUUUGGCAAUAAACUUCUCUGCCAACUCAUCCCAAGUAUGGAUAGAAUGGUUCGGUAAGCGCUCUAGCCAAUCCAAAGCCUUUCCCCUUAGGGAGAAAGGAAAUAACCUCAAUUUCAAAGCGUCCUCGGACACAUUUAUUUGCUUACUUCCCCAACAAGCAUCUACGAAUCCCUUUUAAGUGCUUGUAUGCAUUUUGAUGAGGUGCUCCGGUGAAGUAGCCUCUUUGCUCAAGCAAGGUAAGCAUGACAUUUGUAAUUUGCAAAUUGCCCGCAUUAAUGCGAGGGGGGACAAUUGUACUUGCAUAGCCAUCAUUUAAUGCGACAUAUUGUUGAGCCGGUUAGCCAUGUGGAGGUGGUGGUGGUGGAGGCGGCGGAGGGUGGUUUUGGUUUUGCCCUCGACCACGGCGGUUUCCUUGAACCGGAGCCGCUUCUUCAUCUACCAUAUCUUCUUCAAUGGCCCCAAGAGGCAAAUCACCAAGGUCAUUGUUGUUCGCCAUUGGUAACCUAGAACAAGCACAUACGAAUCAAAGUAUCACGAAGUAAAGAUAAGAACUCAAGAAAACACACAAUUACAAAGUAACACAAGAACACCGUACUCCCCAGCAACGACGCCAAAUAUUGGUGACGUCCAAUCCUGCACCUGUAAAGGAAGUGUAGCACGAUCGUUAGCAAUAAUAAACCCAACAAAGGUUGGGGUCGAAUCCCACAAGGAGUAGGUGUGUGUUAGAGUGUCCAAAUGUGUAUAAACUUGAUAAUUCUUAAUGUAAUCUUCAAACAAAAGGUGGUUGUUCAAUUAAUUUAAAAGUUACUUCUAAAAUUACUAUGUAAACUAGUCUAGGAAUUUUAUCGAACACUUAGAAUACAAGUAAAGAUAUAGUUGUAACAAAUAAGAGAAUGCGCUAAGAUUGUUCCCCUUCGUGUAGGCUAUGCUUUUGGGUAUACAAAUAUUCAAUUCUAGUUAAUUAAGCAUGUAUUAUGACCUCAAUUUCUAUUCUACCAACUUAAUGUCUUCCAACACUUGAGGUUUUUACCUCAAGUUGCUCUUCCAAGUCAACUAAGGCUCAAUGAUAAGCAAUUGAUUAAUCCAAGUAGAAAUCACACUAUUCCUAGCUAGAUUUCAUUAAUCAAGUGAUUAACCCACUUAAUUCCUUGCUAAUUACCUUGUACCUAAGCAAAAUUCCACUUUUCCUAGAUAGAACAAGCAAAAUAGGCAUGUAUUUAGUGUUUGCAACCACAAUCAAUCGAUAAAGCAUGGAAUAAUUAGAUAACACAAAGCUUGAUCAAACUUGAGAGUAAAAUUAAUAACCCAAAAACAUCACCACACUUAGGUUUCACAAUCCUAGCUUAAUAAACUUAGCUAGACAUAUUAAAGAAGGAAAAUACAAAAAGAGAUGGAAAUCUAAGCAUAAUAGCUAAAGAGGAAAGAAAGAUUGUGUAAAACAAUGGUGACGUCACCCAAAAUCCCAAAGAGGAAAUCCCAAAAGAUGCUACAUAAUUAUUCUUCCAAAAAGAUCCCCUAGAGUGACUUAAAAUAACUAUUUAUACCAAGUCCCACAAGUAGACAAAAUUGCCCUUCGGAUGGCAUAGCUACGCAAAAGGUGGUGCGUAGCUACGCCCAACAACUCUCUCUUGUAAUGCUUCAGGUCUUCAGUUGAUGUAGGUAAGGAGCGUAGCUACGCAUGGCAACAUAGCUAAUUCCAGAACACUAUAAAAUCUUCAGCUUCUAAUGCCUCAGUAGCGUAGCUACGCACAUCUUCCGCUUUUCUUUAUCGCUGAAUACAUAUGUAGCCCUUCAAACUUGUCCCAUAUUUCCACCUAGACACUUAAACUAAAGCUUGUAUCUAUUGGCAGUGUUAUCAAAGACGAAAAGCGCAAAAAAGCUCCACGGCCCAUUGGGGCUUUAAGCGCAAAGGGCAAAUAAAGCGCGGACUUUAAUGAAAAAAGGCGCAACUGGAGCAAAAAGUAAAAAUAUGUAUAUGUAGUCCAAGACCAAUAAUUAUAAGCAUGAACAACAAAUAUAUGGACAAAAAAAGUUGAAGAAAAAAUAACGAUAAAGUGAAAUAUCAAUUGUUCAGUGUCGCAUUUUCAGGAUUAUACUCAUGGGCAAGGAAAGUAUGCUUUAGAGCCUUGAUGCGACACUGAAGCGCCCGCAAAGCGAGGCGAAACGCUCAACAUGUUUUGAGCCUCGCUUUAGGGCUUAAGCGAGCCUUUGACAACACUGCCUAUGGGACACUUAAUCUCUAUUGAAACUGUCUUAUUAGGCAUAAUUUGCUGAGGUGGCACAAUACGUGCAUAACACAGAUUUUUGGAGUGUGGAAUGCCAUACCUUUUAAUUUUUUGAUUUUUUUUCUUGUCACCCCUCCCUUCGCCGCCGCCAUCAUCACAUACCAUUAGCACCACUACCUUCACCCAAUAUCAAACACUACCCUAAUCCUUCUACCUAGUCUCUAUCCUCUCUACCUUAGCAGGCGACUGCAGUGGCAGCACUGAAGCACUACAUGAGAACCUUUAACGGAGCCAUCGCCAAAUACCGACAAUAGCUGACUGCAACUGGAUAAGGACAAUAAAAUUUUUCCGAAUAUAUAGGUCCCCAAGCCUUCCAAAAUCAGCACAUAUCUCGAUUUCCAAGCAAGACAAAGCUCCAAUCAAUUUUCCCAGCUUCAAUUUAAUUUCUGAAUGAAUUUCCACCAUUAGAAUCUUCAACUCGAAUUCCCAACACUGAAGGUUUUUUUUCCUUGAAAAAUUUCACCUCCAAAUUCAUAACCACAAUGUUACAACUCGAAAUUCUAUCUCAGUAACGUUUCAGAUCAAUUUUCUAGUCAAACGGUAAUCCGAGGCUUAAAAUCAAACUUGGAACCAUGACUUAAACAAGAUUAACGGAAGGAAAGCUACCAAAAUAAUCGUGUACUCUUUUUUGUUAUGAUAUUUGAAAAUGAAAGACAGAGAGAAAUUUGAUGGUGUUGUGUGGAUUUUGAAGGUGCAGCUCAGUGGGUGUCUACAAUGGAGGAGUUCGGUGGCGUGAAGAAGGAGACGGUGGUCUCCAUGUUUUUCUUCUUUUUUUCCUUUUUUCUUUCUGAUGUGUCCUUCAGUGAUUGGUGAUUUUCUCCAUAUCAUCGGCGUGUGAUCCACACAUUUUAUAUCUUUAGUUUAUUGUUUGCAAGGUGUUUAAUAGGUACAAUUUUAAUAGAGAUCAAGUGCCUAAUAAGUACAAGUCUUAGUAUAAGUGUCUAGGUGGAAAUAUGAGACAAGUUUGAGGGGAUCUGUAUGUAUUCAACCUUUCUUUAUUUUCAUUCUUUUAACACUUUUAAACUUCCAUUCACCAUUCUCAUGCAUGUUUUUGAUACUUUUCUUUUCCUCUUGGCUCUUUAAUCACUUCACACCCUGUAACUUCAUCAUUUAAAGCAUAAUUAAUCAAUUAAUUCCAACAAACAGAGCAUAAAACUCUAUCAAAACACUAGAAAAAUUAGUUGAAAUGCUAACUUAUCAAACAUCAACUACUACUUCCUCCCUCC
This 4180-nucleotide long non-coding RNA is filed under the name Nicotiana tabacum (common tobacco). RNAcentral's name for it is "long non-coding RNA (NTAB_LNC014155)". Lineage: Eukaryota; Viridiplantae; Streptophyta; Magnoliopsida; Solanales; Solanaceae. The record is from RNAcentral.